CCCAUGGUCAACACAUUUAUUAAAAAUGAUCGAACAAUAUUUACAAAUAAAAUUAAACUCACACCAGAUUAACCAAUAACCAAUUUUACAUUAUUAUUUUUUACAAUAUUUGCCAUAAAAGACAGUUUGUUUUUUUAAAUGUCCCUUUUCCAAGACAUGGUGGAAAAUACAUUCUGACAAUGCGAUUUAAAUUUUCUAGAUAUACAUUUUUUUUCGUGUGCUAACCAAUACAUUGUACAACAGAACAGUGCAUUUAAUGUCUGGUAAAUCAUUAAAUAUCAAUACACCUCUUUGCAUACAAUAUAUUAUACUCCACAAUAUGCAUUAUUCGUAUAUCUACACAGACUGUACAUUAUUCGCCUGUCAUAAAUAAA
Pelobates cultripes (western spadefoot toad) is the source of this 374-nucleotide non-coding RNA. The record is from the annotation of a GenBank genome assembly. NCBI's taxonomy places the organism in Eukaryota, Metazoa, Chordata, Amphibia, Anura, Pelobatidae.